This 28-nucleotide small RNA is filed under the name Bombyx mori (domestic silkworm). RNAcentral describes it as "ovarian small RNA-38423". The record is from RNAcentral. Lineage: Eukaryota; Metazoa; Arthropoda; Insecta; Lepidoptera; Bombycidae.
UUUGUACCGUAAGUUCCAUGGGGAGUGC